Molecule: ribosomal RNA, 802 nt
Filed under: Campylobacter concisus
Lineage: Bacteria; Pseudomonadati; Campylobacterota; Epsilonproteobacteria; Campylobacterales; Campylobacteraceae
Description: bacterial SSU rRNA
Rfam family: Bacterial small subunit ribosomal RNA
Source: RNAcentral
UAAUCUGCCCUACACUAGAGGACAACAGUUGGAAACGACUGCUAAUACUCUAUACUCCUCUCUAACAUAAGUUAGAUAGGGAAAGUUUUUCGGUGUAGGAUGAGGCUAUAUUGUAUCAGCUAGUUGGUGAGGUAAUGGCUCACCAAGGCUAUGACGCAUAACUGGUCUGAGAGGAUGAUCAGUCACACUGGAACUGAGACACGGUCCAGACUCCUACGGGAGGCAGCAGUAGGGAAUAUUGCUCAAUGGGGGAAACCCUGAAGCAGCAACGCCGCGUGGAGGAUGACACUUUUCGGAGCGUAAACUCCUUUUGUUAGGGAAGAACAAUGACGGUACCUAACGAAUAAGCACCGGCUAACUCCGUGCCAGCAGCCGCGGUAAUACGGAGGGUGCAAGCGUUACUCGGAAUCACUGGGCGUAAAGGACGCGUAGGCGGAUUAUCAAGUCUCUUGUGAAAUCCUAUGGCUUAACCAUAGAACUGCUUGGGAAACUGAUAAUCUAGAGUGAGGGAGAGGCAGAUGGAAUUGGUGGUGUAGGGGUAAAAUCCGUAGAGAUCACCAGGAAUACCCAUUGCGAAGGCGAUCUGCUGGAACUCAACUGACGCUAAUGCGUGAAAGCGUGGGGAGCAAACAGGAUUAGAUACCCUGGUAGUCCACGCCCUAAACGAUGUAUACUAGUUGUUGCUAAGCUAGUCUUGGCAGUAAUGCACCUAACGGAUUAAGUAUACCGCCUGGGGAGUACGGUCGCAAGAUUAAAACUCAAAGGAAUAGAGCGGGACCCGCACAAGCGGUGGAGCAUGUGG